UACGAAGGGGGCUAGCGUUGUUCGGAAUCACUGGGCGUAAAGCGCAUGCAGGCGGAUCGUUAAGUCGGGGGUGAAAUCCCGAGGCUCAACCUCGGAACUGCCUCCGAUACUGGCGAUCUCGAGUCCGGAAGAGGUGAGUGGAAUUGCGAGUGUAGAGGUGAAAUUCGUAGAUAUUCGCAAGAACACCAGUGGCGAAGGCGGCUCACUGGUCCGGUACUGACGCUGAGAUGCGAAAGCGUGGGGAGAAAACAGG
This 253-nucleotide ribosomal RNA is filed under the name uncultured bacterium. RNAcentral describes it as "partial 16S ribosomal RNA". It matches the Rfam family "Bacterial small subunit ribosomal RNA", at positions 524 to 776 of the family's 1533-position model. The record is from RNAcentral.